Non-coding RNA from Rattus norvegicus (Norway rat), 1194 nucleotides. The record is from RefSeq and is a predicted model, not a curated record. Lineage: Eukaryota; Metazoa; Chordata; Mammalia; Rodentia; Muridae.
AUUUAGCUCAGUGGUAGAGCGCUUACCUAGGAAGCGCAAGGCCCUGGGUUCGGUCCCCAGCUUCGAAAAAAAGAACCAAAAAAAAAAAAAAAAAAAAAUUGAUUCAUUGAGUAAAUCCUACUUAGGUACAUUACAACUGCUCAGUCCUACUGAAAACAUCUUAUAGGGCAAACUAUCCAGUAAUAGAAAAAUAAAAAACCAGAUGUGCUCAUAUUAAUACAAAAUCCAGUGCCUUGAGUGCAUCUCCAAAAGUAACUGUAGUUUUAACAGCCAGUAAGAUACGGUAUCAAGAGUCGAGUAAGGGAGCAGCUCAGCUUGUGCUUUAUAACUUCAUCUUUCCACUGUUCUUCAGCAACCAAAACACUGACAACAGAAAUGAUGUAAGACUUUUUAUGUACAUUUGUUUGUUACAUCAUCACAAGAUACUACUAUCUGAGUCAAUCUCUAUAACAGUAAGUUCAUUUCUCCACUCCCAGUUUUUGAAACCUGUUUCUCUGUAUAUUCCUAGCUGUCCUGAACUCUGUAAAACAGGCUGGCCUCACACUCGAGAUCCACAUGAGCGCUGGGACUAAAGGAAUGUACCACUAUGGCCCAGGGAAGAGGGGACUGAGCCAUUCCACCAGCCUCCAGCCUAGGUAACAGAGGAAAACGCCAGUUACAAGGCAAGAGCCGCUCAACUCCACAAGCAAUCUGCUGGCCGGGCACAGUUUCUUCCCCAUGGCCUUCAUCAGAAGUCGGGCCUUGGUUUUAGAGAAUAUGCAGCAAUGGGCCCCACCACCCAGGCAAACCGGUCACAAGGCGGAAAGGGCCCGCACAGCCUGAUGUGAGUAACCGAGGCCUAGAGGCAGCGCCGCGUUCGGGUCAGGUGACAGGCACCUCCCCGAGGCGCCCGUUUUCUGGGCAAGAAGCUCCAUCCACCGCAGAGACCGGAGUAGGGCUGGAGCCACAAGCCCUCCCUCUCCAUUAUCUCCUCGCACCUUUUUCUUCUCAAGGUUCCGAAGUUUCUUGUCGAUCACGCCGAGAAUCUGCUUCAUGGCCUCGGUCUGGACCGCGCCGGUGCCGGUUGCCGGAUGCUGAGAAGCCGGCGCAGCUGCCCCGGCCGCCGCCUCACUCCCGGAGGAACCGGACGGCGGCGGCGGUCCCGACGAUUUGCUGCCGCUUCCGCUGUGGCUGGUGGCCGAGGGCAUCUUUAGA